Molecule: long non-coding RNA, 689 nt
Filed under: Rattus norvegicus (Norway rat)
Lineage: Eukaryota; Metazoa; Chordata; Mammalia; Rodentia; Muridae
Description: long non-coding RNA NONRATT025033
Source: RNAcentral
ACAGCUGCCUCAAGUGUCCACUCUCUCUGACCCUAUCUAGGCUCCAGCAAGAAUUCCAUCUCUGUCUGUUUUAUUCCCACUGAAGAGAAAAAUGACUUUAAUGGCAACAACAAAUGCUUCACUUGUUAGCCUUUCUGUUCCCGACCCUGACACAAAUAAACUAAUAUUCCAUCUACCCGGCACCGGCCUGAGGUAGGGGAAAGAACGGAAUCCGUGUCAUUGUCCCUGUGUGGGGUGAGGGCGGAGGGGAGCAGGAGCUGCCUGGCGUGUUGCUCCCACCCCCACAAAGAAACAGAUGCUACUACAGCACCUUUAAAAAUAGAGACGUGGACUUCAGUCUUGGGCAGAAAGUCUACCAUACUGCCUGGUUUCCUGUUCUUUAUGAAUCAAACCGGACUAUCUCUGCUUUCCUGUUUUCCAGCUCUGGGAUCAGUACACGUCAACCUGAACCCGGAAGAGUUCCAAGUAUCUUUCCCCUUCUCUGUCAGGUUCGUGUUACCCUGAACCUGUGAGCUCAGAAGGAAUUUUCUGGUUUUCGGGAGACGGCAGCCAUUCAUCAUAGCUCUCCACCACUGACUGACUGAGAGUCAAUUAUCAUCAAACAUCCAUCUGCCCAUGGUGAGCUACAAGCUAUGCCAGGUGUUUGGUGAAUAACACUAAUGUAAUUUAUUUUACUGUCUGAUUUCUCA